This is a long non-coding RNA of Panicum hallii, 606 nucleotides long. RefSeq lists it as uncharacterized. The record is from RefSeq and is a predicted model, not a curated record. The transcript is spliced from 2 exons. Lineage: Eukaryota; Viridiplantae; Streptophyta; Magnoliopsida; Poales; Poaceae.
UCCAUCUGCACAUGACGUGAGAGACAGGCGUGGAGGCGGGCGAGCUAGCCGCGGCGGCGGCGUCUCGGCGCGUCUCCCUGCCCUCCGGCGGCAACGACUCCGCGCGCCGCGCUCCAGAGCAGCUCUCCCGUCAGCAGGCGGCGAGCUCUUUGACCGCCAGCGCCUGGUGCUACUGCUGCUGCUGACCACCACGAGCGGGGACGGGGUGCUGCUCCCGGCGCUGCUGGUGCCGCCGGAGGAGGAGAGGGCGAGGUGGGAGCGCAGGCUGGGCGUGGGGCUGGGGCUGAAGCUGCCGCCGCCGGUGCUGCUACGGCGCUUCUUGCGGGCCUCGAGGGAUUCGAGCAGUGGCGGAAUGUGGAAUCUAAAGGGGGACCAGUUGAACUGAAACUAGUCGUGCACACUGCGCACCUCAUCGUUGGUUGCAGCAGCACAGGGCAGACAAUAGCUGACAAGCAUAUGCAUGCAGCAGCCCAGCUUCGCCGCCACUGUGGUCCGCCACUGGAUUCGAGCACCUGCUGCCUGCUGUGUGGUAGAUCGAUGGGUCAACUGAUCGAGAUGGUCGAUGUGAUGUAGCUACCUGCAAACACAACAACGACACUGCUGGAA